Coturnix japonica (Japanese quail) is the source of this 5469-nucleotide long non-coding RNA. RefSeq lists it as uncharacterized. NCBI's taxonomy places the organism in Eukaryota, Metazoa, Chordata, Aves, Galliformes, Phasianidae. The record is from RefSeq and is a predicted model, not a curated record.
AGAAGCUGAAAGUGAAACUGUCUGAAAAUGAGAGUGAAGAAAACUGGCCUGCUUCUAUAAUUUCAGCAGAAAGCACCCCCGGUAAACAAAAUGGCACACUUCUGCAAUCAGCAAUGAAGAAUUCUCCCUGUUUAAAUGGCUGAAGUGAGACAAGUUGAGAGAGCUUUCAACAUUCACAAACUCAUCUAAUUGUUCAGGACAUACUGAGUAUCUGCACUUACAGAAAUCAAGCUCAGGUGGAACUCCCUUGAAAGCAAGGCACCGGGAAGCCAAGAUGGGUUUUCAGAAACCAGUGGUGCCUUCCUACUGAUAGGACCGAAUCCCAGCACGGAGCCAUCGCCACAGGCAGGAGGAUGACAAACAGGAGGCACAACAGGUUGCACCAAAAAGAAGCAGCUUUUCAGUUCAGAGGAAAGUUAUUGCACAUGGACAACUUCUCACUUCAUCUGUAUGGGCUUUCCAGCACCUCAAGAGAUCCCACAGUUUUUGUUUUGAUAAACAAGAUGCCAUCCACCAUCUGCCAUCUCCCAUUGCCUCUGUCAGGAAGAACAGUUUGGAGAAUUCUUCCAACUGGAAGAGUCUCAGCUGUCUCUGCGCUUCAACACUAUCCUUUCACAUAAUCUUCAAAGAUCUGUCCACCAGCUCUGAAAUGUUAGCAUGGAAAAGCAAAUAAGAAAAAAAAAGAAAAAAGAAAAAACAAAGAAACAGAUCGACCUUGAAUUAGGAUUGAUUUUGCUUUUAAGACUAGGGAAAAAAAAAAUACCAGCAACAAAGCAGAAAAUAGAAUUAAAACUUUUUUAUGAGUUACAAUCUACAUCAUUUUUCCCAGGGCCCAACAGUCAGGCUUGUUUUUUUUUCCUUCUCACACAACAGCACCAGGCAGAGAUCCCAUCAGCCAAAAGCCACUUCAAAUCCCCCAAGCAACCCUCUUUUCAGAACAUCUCCUUUCAUGCACAUGAGAUGUAAGGAGAGCUCAGGAAGAUCCUCCGAUGAAAGCCUUCCUCCCAAGUUGUCGCCUUUGAAGAAGAGCCCCAGUGCCAGUGAAGCUCCACCGGAAUUUGCCCUUUCCUGUGAUGCACAAUGGGGAUGUGAUGCAGUUUCUGAGCCACGCUCCCUCUGGAACAUACCGCGCAGAGUCUGAGCUCAGGUGGGGCCGUGCAUCUUGCAGAACUGCUCAUAUGGCUGACCCUUAUGUCAAUAAUUAGCAGGGAGCCAGGUGGAAUUAUCUGCAGUAUAGUUGCAGCUGGUGGCAGCAAAGCCAGUAGGAGAGCACCGUUAACUGCUUCAGCAUUAGCAAGAAAUGGUGCCAAAGGCUGGCUGCAAUCAUGUAAAUAGCUCAUGGAGGGGAAACAUGAGGAUUAUGAUUACCUGGUGCUGCAGAGGGGAUGCCGCCUGAGAAAAGAUGCUUGUGCCCACAGGGGACAACGCUCACUGCCAGCAGGGAUAUGGGGUCGGUGCAGCUCCUGCCCUGCAUGGCAGAAUGUUGGACUGCAGGGCUGGCUGAGCAGCCGAUGUGAGGCUGUGAGAGGCAAUGUUUAAAAAAUAGAAUCAACACAUCAAACGAUGUGUCAUGUAAGUUUUCCAUGUCAAGGAAAAUAGCCCGAGGCCAUUCUUCCCACAUUUGCCGCUACAACAGCCAGACAACCUGGCCCCAGAAUUUAUUCUGGUCUUUAAUCAGGAAAAAUGCCUGUGAUCUCUGAGGUUGGGCUUCACGGUUUUGGAAAGAGAUGAUCUGGUUCACUAGAAGGAAGGCGCUUGCCCACUGUUCUUGAGGUCUGUGGUCACUGUGAGAGUCGCACUCAUUGUGCACCACCUGCUGAAGAAGUGGAAUUGCUCUCAUUUGCCCCAGUCAUCUCUGUACAGUAAACAUCCAGCGUAGCGGCUUCAGAGCCAUUACUCAUACUAUGUUUCCCUCUGUAUACACAAAAGCAGAUGCUGUCCAGUACCCAGAUGACCCCAAGUUCUGCUUUCAUCCUGUGCUAGUUUUGUUUUAUUUUUUUCUCCAUACUCUUCAUGCUGAGGUUUACCUUCCUCAUGAUUUUAUUGCCCCGAGAACAAAGCUGGCCCUCCACAAACCAUGCACAGUGAGGCUACGCAGGGUGCAUAGUUACUAGAACGCUUGAUUUUUGUUCCCUAAUUUAGAGCACAAAAACAAUUUCCAAGUGGCCAGAGCAAGAUUGCCCCUCCGUGCAUAUCAUCCUUCCCUUUGCACCUCAGGUAGCCUUUGCACAGAUUUCCUUUGACUCAGGACAUGGUGAGAGAUUGGUUUUGCCUUUAGGAGAGGGCAGCAGCACAAAGGUGCCAACUCAGUGUGUAGGACUAUCACAAAGCUCUCAGCACUCUGAGCCAUUUGGGGCUCUUAUGAGAUCACUCUUGGCAAGAAAGAUAAACCCAGAUAUGUUCAUGGGUUUAAAACCCAAACCCUAAACAGGCUUUGAGGCCAGCACACAAUUUCUCUAGCAGGCAAUAUGGUUUUCUUGUACAUAUAAUAAGCCUCAGUCAUCAGGAUUGCCGUGAGCUGCCACAAUGCAUACACUCCUGUGGUGCAGCCCUGGUCGCUCUCACUGAUGUGUGCUAUUUCUGAACUAAAGCAUAAGGUUUAUCAUCCCUGCUGUUCUACCCUGCAAGCAGGAGUAAAAAAGGUCGACUACUGUGUUCAGGCAGCAUCAAAUUACUGUAAAACAAGUGAGAUACUGCAGCGAUAUAUGGUGAAUCUCGGCAUCUUCACUUCUUUCAGGCUUGCAUUAUAAAUGGGUCACAAACUGUUGCUUUCAUAAUAGAAAGACGAGCCAUCAGCUCACUCAUCCCUUCCAAAUUAAUAUUCAGUGAGGAUUUGCAAAUGAAUCUGUUUCAUACCUGGGCAUGCCAUGGAGCACCUGGAGUGCUUUGUCUGAGCUAUGUAAUGGGGAGUUCAGUGUCAUGAAGCAAUUUACAGGCUGUCCUAGGGCUUCCUCUGAUAAAAACUAUGACAGCAUGCAUAGGUAGGCAGAGGAUAAGUGUUAUAGCAAAGUCUGGGCUGGACACAGGAGGGGAAUUAGGCACAGGUUUUUUGUCUCCCAAACCCAAAGAUCUCCUGCAUGUUACCCAAACCUGGCCACACAGAGUCACUGAGGUCAGGCUGCCAUUCUUCCACUCCUUACACCAAACUCCAGGUUCACCCAGGCAGUGCUGCCUCCAUCAGCACUGACCAAUAUCAGCACCAAUAUCUGCCUUUCUGUCAGAGGAGACACGCACUUUUAUCUUCUCAGACUGAAAGAGAGCCACUCAAUAGAUCUGCAUCUAUAGACCGCAGCGCUCUUCUCAUUCAUCUGCCGAAAUGUGUGCACCUGACUGCAUCGGAAGCCACAGAUACAGCACUCAGCUGCAGCUGAUUGUGGUGGUGCUGGGAGAUGCUGUUGGAGCAGCCCCAUGGGUGUCCCCAGCCCUGACCUGCUCACAUUGCAGCUGAUGGAGAUGCCUCGAGCAGGAGCCCACGUCUGGCGGGGCCUGGUGGCAAAUUGGAGGAGCUUUUCCCAGAGUGAGAAAGAAGCUAAUUUCUUACUAAUUAUUUGCCAAACAGCAUGUAAUUAAAUAGCGCAGAACUGUCGACAAUGCAUCUUUGGGUCUUUAGGCCAUAUUUUUUCUGUUCAUGGCACGCUCCUCCAGCGCUUCAAGGCUACUGCAUGCUGCAGAGCAGCGGAGGAGCAGAGUGAUAAUUGAACAAUUAACAAGUGAUGUCAUAAAACAUUGUACUUAAAAUAAAAUGCGUAAUUAAAAUAACUGAAGCACGCAAAAAAGAGAUGCAGCGGCAUACAGAAAAAAGCACACGCACUAAAAACAAAAAUCCUUGAGAAUAAGUAAGUCCCAUGUAGGAACUAAAAUAUGCCAUUUAAAGGGGAAAAAAUAGCACCAGAGUGGUUAAGCGAAGACGUGGAAUAAGCUAGCAAGCAACGAUGAUUUGCCAAAAACUAUAAUAAUGUUGCAAAAGAAGUAUUCUCUGUAGUUAACAAGUUUGGGCCAUAAAACAGUCCUUCGGUGGCUCCCUGUGUCAUUAUUUGCUACCAAGACACUGCACUGAUGGGCUCCUCGGGAUCCAGCGUUAGAUCAGUAAGCAGGAAAGCAGAGGUCCCCCCAGAUUUCCUGCCUGGAGAGCUGUUAGGAUCCGUGCUAGUUCUUUAAAGAGCAGAGCUGCGUACAGUGCUGCACUCAAAAUGACCCCGUUAGGAAUAUAAUCUGCUACAAAUGAGAUGUUUGGAGGGGAAAAAAACACAGGAAAGCCAAAAGAAAAGAGAGGGGGGAAAAAAACGAUGCCUGCUUGACUUCAGCUCAUCCUAACAAACGUGGUCUGUGAAGAGCCUGUAUCCUGCUCAUGGGAAGGCCAGAGAGGGAUUUGAGCAGCACCAUCUCCCCAAGGCUGGGCUCAAGCUGCUGCUGCCCAGCAGGUGCCCGGCUGCAGUGCCCAUGCUACUGUUCGCUCGCAGCAUGCACAGCCCUUUUUACUCCUGUUUCUCUGCUUUCCUUCAGCAUGUUAUUUCUUAAACUCUAGACACUAGCAGAGAUUUUAAAGCAUGAGGCAGACGUGCUUUCCAAGAAUAAUUGCUCUCUGGCUGCUGCACAGGAGCUCUGCUCAUGCAUUUCUGGAAGAUACUUGCAGACUGCUAACUGCUCUGGAAGCCUCCUCAGCCUUCUCUGCCUGCAAAUGGCAUUAUUAGUCGCUAAUAGCCUCAGCUCACCAUGUUGUCUCUUGGUUAGUUAGCAGCUAUUCUGCAAGUCAGAGGCAGGGAAAGAAGCACAUAUGUUUAAGCAGGAGCCAACUUCUGAUCUGUUAAAAAAGAAAAAAGAAACCUGGAAGGUUUCCUUAGAGCAAUCCCACCAUUAGGGAAGCAAUGAGUAAGGAAUGUUUCAGCAUGGGGUGGGAUGUCCACACCACCUCCCACUGAGCAGCUGCUGCUCUGGGUCUGGUUCCUGAAGGGAGGGACACAGAGGAUGCUUUGCUGCUUGCAGCUGGCACUGGCCAUGGAGCAGGAGGAGAACUGGUUCCAUUGCAGCAGGAGAUGGGAAACACAGUUUGGUGUCAGGACCUGAAAAUCUGUGGCAUAGAAUUUCCAGACUAAAGGACUGCACUACUCAGAGCACUUAACUGACAAAUAUACCUACAUCUCAUUAAAAGUCAAGAGGUCUUAAUAACAAGAUCUUUGCUGCUGUGUUGUUCUUUUUUAAAGGUUAGGGACUGGGUUUGUUUUGUUUUGUUUCAUUAAGGUUACUUGCUCACCUGCUCGUUCCUUUCUGGAUAUUGUAGGAUUCUAUUAUUUACUGCUCAAGCAAUUCCAAGAACUGCUCUACUGACAUUUCAUGGUAUUUAGUAUUGACCAAACACUACAUGAUAAAUCUUUAUAAUACUCCAGAGAGACCAUCAAGGGAGUAGUUACAAAUAUAUACAUUGCAGCAUGUUGUGUUCUGGGUUAAAUGAAAUAUAAAAUCGCAUCCCCA